AGAACCUUACCAGGUCUUGACAUCUUUUGAUCACCGGAGAGAUCAGGUUUCCCCUUCGGGGGCAAAAUGACAGGUGGUGCAUGGUUGUCGUCAGCUCGUGUCGUGAGAUGUUGGGUUAAGUCCCGCAACGAGCGCAACCCUUAUGACUAGUUGCCAGCAUUUAGUUGGGCACUCUAGUAAGACUGCCGGUGACAAACUGGAGGAAGGUGGGGAUGACGUCAAAUCAUCAUGCCCCUUAUGACCUGGGCUACACACGUGCUACAAAGGAUGGUACAACGAGUUGCGAGACCGCGAGGUCAAGCUAAUCUCUUAAAGCCAUUCUCAGUUCGGACUGUAGGUUGCAACUCGCCUACACGAAGUCGGAAUCGCUAGUAAUCGCGGAUCAGCACGCCGCGGUGAAUACGUUCCCGGGUCUUGUACACACCGCCU
This 429-nucleotide ribosomal RNA is filed under the name uncultured bacterium. RNAcentral's name for it is "bacterial SSU rRNA". It matches the Rfam family "Bacterial small subunit ribosomal RNA", at positions 965 to 1395 of the family's 1533-position model. The record is from RNAcentral.